Prolemur simus (greater bamboo lemur) is the source of this 297-nucleotide unclassified non-coding RNA. It matches the Rfam family "Metazoan signal recognition particle RNA". Rfam says of the family: The signal recognition particle (SRP) is a universally conserved ribonucleoprotein. The record is from Ensembl. Lineage: Eukaryota; Metazoa; Chordata; Mammalia; Primates; Lemuridae.
GCCAGGUGUGGCAGUGUGAACUUGUAGUCCCAGCUACUCGGGAGGCUGAGGCAGGAGGAUCGCUUGAGUUGAGGGGUUCUGGGCUGUAGUGUGCUAUGCCAGUCAGGUGUCUGCACUAAGUCUGGCAUCAAUAUAGUGACCUCCCAGGAGUGGGAGAUGACCAGGUUGCCUCCAGAGGGGUGAGCCGGCCCAAGUGGAAUGAAGCAGGUCCAACCUCCCGUGCUGAUCAGUAGUGGGAUCACACCUGUGAAUAGUUACUACACUCCAGCCUGGACAGCACAGCAAGACCCCAUCUCU